This 343-nucleotide ribosomal RNA is filed under the name uncultured bacterium. Its description in RNAcentral is "bacterial SSU rRNA". It matches the Rfam family "Bacterial small subunit ribosomal RNA", at positions 917 to 1269 of the family's 1533-position model. The record is from RNAcentral.
GGACCCGCACAAGCGGUGGAGUAUGUGGUUUAAUUCGAUGCAACACGAAGAACCUUACCAGGGUUUGAAAUCAUUUCAAAACUCCUUGAAAGAGGAGCCUCCUUCGGGAUGAAAUGACAGGUGGUGCAUGGCUGUCGUCAGCUCGUGUUGUGAAAUGUCGAGUUAAGUCUCGUAACGAGCGCAACCCAUGUCUCUUGUUGCUCACUGAGUGCUUAAGAGAGACUGCCGACCAACAUCGGAGGAAGGUGUGGAUGAUGUCAAGUCAGCAUGCCCCUUACAUCCUGGGGCUACACACGUACUACAAUGGUUAGGACAAAGAGAUGCGACCUCGCGAGAGUAAGCC